Long non-coding RNA from Diospyros lotus (date-plum), 342 nucleotides. RefSeq lists it as uncharacterized. The transcript is spliced from 3 exons. NCBI's taxonomy places the organism in Eukaryota, Viridiplantae, Streptophyta, Magnoliopsida, Ericales, Ebenaceae. The record is from RefSeq and is a predicted model, not a curated record.
GGAAGACAAGUCUUCCCUUUGGCCAUUUGAAGAAGAAGAAGAAGAAGAAGAAGAAGAAGAAAGAGCCUAGAGGGGAUGGAAGCAAGUGAAGUCUUGCCAAGUCAAGUUGUUGAAGCUCUCUUGAAGAUAAAGAUUGUGGAAAAUCAAAAAGAAUAGAGGUAUCUCAUGUGCAAGAAGGAAGGGAUCUUGGAAGGUUAAGCAUACUUGAUGAGAUGAAGACCCUAAGGAAUUCAUGUAAUUUAGCUUGGGUUUUGGAAGCCUAAGCAUGUUGUAAAUUACUUUUAUUUUUUUAUGUAUGAUGUAGCAAAUAUAUUGUAAAGCUACAAUCUUAAAUAAAGGGGA